This 501-nucleotide ribosomal RNA is filed under the name uncultured bacterium. RNAcentral's name for it is "partial 16S ribosomal RNA". It matches the Rfam family "Bacterial small subunit ribosomal RNA", at positions 30 to 523 of the family's 1533-position model. The record is from RNAcentral.
AUUGAACGCUGGCGGCAUGCCUUACACAUGCAAGUCGAACGGCAGCGUAGGAGCUUGCUCCUGAUGGCGAGUGGCGAACGGGUGAGUAAUAUAUCGGAACGUGCCCUAGAGUGGGGGAUCACUAGCCGAAAGACUAGCUAAUACCGCAUCCGAUCUACGGUUGCAAGUGGGGGAUCGCAAGACUUCAUGCUCCUGGAGCGGCCGAUAUCUGAUUAGCUAGUUGGUGGGGUAAAAGCCUACCAAGGCGACGAUCAGUAGCUGGUCUGAGAGGACGACCAGCCACACUGGGACUGAGACACGGCCCAGACUCCUACGGGAGGCAGCAGUGGGGAAUUUUGGACAAUGGGGCAACCCUGAUCCAGCAAUGCCGCGUGAGUGAAGAAGGCCUUCGGGUUGUAAAGCUCUUUUGUCAGGGAAGAAACGGUAGUAGCUAAUAUCUAUUACUAAUGACGGUACCUGAAGAAUAAGCACCGGCUAACUACGUGCCAGCCGCCGCAGUAA